UAUAUACUUCCUCUCCGUCCCAAAAUUCUUAUCUUAGAUUUGUAUAGAAAUAGAUGUAUCUAAAUACUAAAGCAUGAUUGGAUACAUUCAUAUCUAGACAAAUGUAAGAAAAAACUUUUAGGACGGAGGGAGUAGGUA
Hordeum vulgare subsp. vulgare (domesticated barley) is the source of this 138-nucleotide non-coding RNA. Lineage: Eukaryota; Viridiplantae; Streptophyta; Magnoliopsida; Poales; Poaceae. The record is from Rfam.